Non-coding RNA from Acanthosepion pharaonis, 114 nucleotides. The record is from the annotation of a GenBank genome assembly. Lineage: Eukaryota; Metazoa; Mollusca; Cephalopoda; Sepiida; Sepiidae.
UUGUGGCCACGUCAAGUUGAAACGCCAAUUUCUGUAUGAACACCAAAGUUAAGCAACAUUGAGCCUGGUCAAUACCUAGAUGGGUGACCGUUUGGUAAUUCAAUGUGCUGUAAG